GCAGCCCUUCUUGCGGUUCCCCUCUCUCGGGGGUUAAGCGCCUCCACCUCCUGGAACCGCACCUCUCUGAGCCUUAGCACACCUGUCUCUCGCCAUGGGCCCCAUCAGCGAAUCCACUUGCUCUGGACCCUCCGGGGCCUCUAGUCCCAGAGGAAAUGAUGCAACCUGUUCUCUAGACCAGAGUGACUCUCAGCCAGCGUAAAACAGGAGGGUUUAUUGAGCAUCUGAACACAGCGUAGGAAAGUCUCAGGGCCCUCAGGCCUGGCCUCCCUCAGCACAGCACCUCCCAGUCUUCCCUGCAUCCAGGUGGGCUCUGCCUGCUCUCUCUUUCUCCAGCCCAGAGCUCUCUUGCUUCCCAGCUGGGCAUCUGAUAUCACCUGCCUUUCUGAAGUCCGUUGUCCUUAUUUUCCUGCUUUAACACCUUCCUUCUCUUAGAAUCACAAAAUCAUCAUUUCAUGAACACUUUUGCCCAUAUUGCUUUCCACCUUCCGCUUCCUAACUCCUGCCUGUUAGAAUCAACCCUAUGAUGUGGAAAAAUGAUCCACGUGUUGUCUUUGGAAUCAGAUUAGCCUGAGGCACCAUUAUUGAUUAUGAGCAUGCAAAGGGUGACAGCUAUUUGGAGCUGCCCCCCCGAUUCAAGGAACACACAGCUUUUUAAAGCUUAAAACCACAGAGAAAUUACACAUACUUCCGCAUCAGUUACCUUGUUUGGAAUACAUGGCAAAAUCAAUACAGGUCAAAAGCAAAAAGAACAAUCAUCUCCCUUAUUUGGCCCUUCCUGUUGUUGUUGUUCUCAGUCUGGUCCUUUUGCGGUUUGACUUUUCUAAUGCUUCUAUUGUGGUUAUAUAUGUCUUAAGCUUGGCUAUUGCAAAUUGUUCUGUUUGGGGACUUUCCACUUCACCUUCUCCUGCCCCCUAUACAUAGAAAGCCAUUGUUUGGUUUUGGGGACUUUUCAUUUGGCUCUUCAUAAACAAAAGAAGCUUGGCCAAUGCUUUGCGCCUAGUAGCUUGACCAACAUUGACGCCUACCAAAUUUUCCUUCACACCUAAAAUGCCUGGUGUCUGGUUAAAAUCCUCCUGGUUACUACUUCCAUCUUCUGAAGCAAACAAGUGUGCCCAACGCAUUCCAAGAGCUCAUUGGACACUUUGUCAUGCAAACAACAGAAAUAUUCAAAACACAAUUAGUAAUGGGGGGGGGGGGACAUGUGACUAACUACCGAGACACCUGUCAGAAAAGGAAUUCAAACAAACACAGAGUUGAGAACAUCCAUCUGCGAAGAAAGAGCCGGGGGGAACUGUGAUGGGAUGUGACUGUCGUGCUCUCACACUUCCCCUUCUUGCCCUGACAGGCUGCAGUGUCACAUCCCACCUUUCCAGGGAGCAGGGAAGGGAAAUGGCUGCCAUGGAGCCAGCUCAGGGUUUUCAGUUUCCAAACCCGAUGUCAUCUCCCAGCUGGAAUGAGGGGAAGAGCCGUGGGCCCCAGAUCUCCAGGGCUCAGAGGAAAGAGAGAUCCUGAGAGGCAGUUGCAUGGCAGGUGAGGGGAUGGUCAGAGAGACCAUGGAGCAGAAGCCUCAUCAGGAAGAGGAGCAAGUGAAAGCACGUGGGGCAUUGUUGCAAAGAUGCAAAGGGAGUGUGUCCAGGAGUUGUGAGCAGGGAAAAGGUUCUCAGGGGCAGCACAGGCCAGAGAAA
This is a long non-coding RNA of Mauremys mutica (yellowpond turtle), 1688 nucleotides long. RefSeq lists it as uncharacterized. Lineage: Eukaryota; Metazoa; Chordata; Testudines; Geoemydidae. The transcript has 3 exons. The record is from RefSeq and is a predicted model, not a curated record.